This 723-nucleotide long non-coding RNA is filed under the name Ricinus communis (castor bean). RNAcentral describes it as "long non-coding RNA (RCOM_LNC001726)". The record is from RNAcentral. Lineage: Eukaryota; Viridiplantae; Streptophyta; Magnoliopsida; Malpighiales; Euphorbiaceae.
AAAUACUGACUACUUCGAGAAUACGUGAGUACUACUGAGUCUAAUAGCGCACAGCUUUUUAAUCAAAGAAAGAAAAAUAAGAAACUAUCUUUCCAUGUCUUUCUCUUUCUCUUUUCAGAAUCUCGUAAAACCCUGAACAGAGAGAGAGUCAGCUAAGUACGGCAAGGCAAGAGUAGCUUCUGUUUCUAGUUCUAGGGGUCCUCCAGAUAUCAGUGGCUAAAUUUGCCAGUUGGUGGGCUAGCUAGCUGCUGCUGCGACUGUACGUUGAUUAAAAAAUCAGGUAGGCGUACUAUAUAAAUUUAUAAGAGAUUCGUGUUCUGGCGCUGUAAUGGCAUAAGUGGUUUUGCAGAGUGGUGGUUUUAGCUUGACUCCUUUGGUUCAAGUGCAAUGGCUUUUUUCUGUUCUCUCUCUCAGUCUCUACAAGUUUCAAGCUUUCCUAGUAGAAUGAGCCUUUGGACUCUGUACUCAACAACUUCAUACCAUAAAAGGUUGAACCAAUGACUUUGCACUUCGCCGCUCAAUUAUUACCCUUCCAUUCCAUAAUUUUGACCCCAAAUAGUUUUCUGCAAUAACACUACUGUACCAUUUCCUAAAGGAAGAUCAUUGCUCUUUUCCCUCUUUUUCUUUUUCUCUUCAAACAAGUAAUAAGCUGUUUUGUUUCUUAGUAUUUUUAGCUUAUUAUUAGCAUAAAAUUAUUUUUUAUUUCUCAAAUAGUUCUUUUUG